RNAcentral lists this ribosomal RNA (793 nucleotides) under uncultured Alphaproteobacteria bacterium. Its description in RNAcentral is "bacterial SSU rRNA". It matches the Rfam family "Bacterial small subunit ribosomal RNA", at positions 45 to 886 of the family's 1533-position model. The record is from RNAcentral. Lineage: Bacteria; Pseudomonadati; Pseudomonadota; Alphaproteobacteria.
UGCCUCAUACAUGCAAGUCGAACGGGGUCUUCGGACCUAGUGGCGCACGGGUGAGUAACAUGUGGGAAUCUACCUGAAGGUUCGGAAUAACUGCGGGAAACUGUAGCUAAUACCGGAUGUGUCUGAAAAGAGAAAGAUUUAUCGCCUUCAGAUGAGCCCGCACUAGAUUAGCUAGUUGGUGAGGUAAUUGCUCCACCAAGGCUACGAUCUAUAGCUGAUUUGAGAGGAUGAUCAGCCACACUGGGACUGAGACACGGCCCAGACUCCUACGGGAGGCAGCAGUAGGGAAUAUUGGACAAUGGGGGAAACCCUGAUCCAGCAAUGCCGCGUGAGUGAAGAAGGCCUUCGGGUUGUAAAACUCUUUCAUCAAUGAUGAUAAUGACAUUAGUUGAAGAAGAAGCUCCGGCUAACUUCGUGCCAGCAGCCGCGGUAAUACGAAGGGGGCUAGCGUUGUUCGGAAUCACUGGGCGUAAAGCGUAUGUAGGCGGAUCAAAAAGUUAGAUGUGAAAUCCCUGGGCUCAACCCAGGAACUGCAUUUAAAACUAGUGAUCUAGAAUUUGGUAGGGGUUAGUAGAAUUUCCAGUGUAGAGGUGAAAUUCGUAGAUAUUGGAAAGAAUACCAGUGGCGAAGGCGACUAACUGGGCCAUUUUUGACGCUGAGAUACGAAAGCGUGGGUAGCAAACAGGAUUAGAUACCCUGGUAGUCCACGCAGUAAACGAUGAGUGCUAGUCGCUGGGACAAUAGUUUCAGUGUCGAAGCUAACGCAUUAAGCACUCCGCCUGGGAAGUACGGU